GCUUAUUUCAUUAGUGCAUCUACUAAGAUCAAAAUGAUACAGGGAAGAUUAGAAUGUCCCACUCUCAAAGAUGACAUACAUUCAUAAAGCAUUUCAUAUGGUU
Acomys russatus (golden spiny mouse) is the source of this 103-nucleotide small nuclear RNA. The record is from RefSeq and is a predicted model, not a curated record. NCBI's taxonomy places the organism in Eukaryota, Metazoa, Chordata, Mammalia, Rodentia, Muridae.